RNAcentral lists this ribosomal RNA (588 nucleotides) under uncultured archaeon. Its description in RNAcentral is "bacterial SSU rRNA". It matches the Rfam family "Archaeal small subunit ribosomal RNA", at positions 333 to 922 of the family's 1478-position model. The record is from RNAcentral.
CAGCAGUCGCGAAAACUUUGCAAUACACGAAAGUGUGACAGGGCUAUCCCGAGUGCCAUCCGCUGAGGAAGGCUUUUACCCAGUCUAGAAAGCUGGGGGAAUAAGGAGAGGGCAAGUCUGGUGUCAGCCGCCGCGGUAAUACCAGCUCUCCCGAGUGGUGUGGAUGUUUAUUGGGCCUAAAGCAUCCGUAGCUGGCUAAGUUAGUCCCCUGUUAAAUCCAACGAAUUAAUCGUUGGAUCGCGGGGGAUACUGCUUGGCUAGGGGACGGGAGAGGCAGACGGUAUUUCCGGGGUAGGGGUGAAAUCCUAUAAUCCCGGGAAGACCACCAGUGGCGAAGGCUGUCUGCUAGAACGCGCCCGACGGUGAGGGAUGAAAGCUGGGGGAGCGAACCGGAUUAGAUACCCGGGUAGUCCCAGCUGUAAACGAUGCAGGCUAGGUGUUUGGACGGCCACGUGCCGUUCUAGUGCCGCAGGGAAGCUGUUAAGCCUGCCGCCUGGGGAGUACGAUCGCAAGAUUGAAACUUAAAGGAAUUGGCGGGGGAGCACCACAAGGGGUGAAGCUUGCGGUUUAAUUGGAGUCAACGCCGGG